ACAGGGAUUGCCCUAGUAACGGCGAGUGAAGCGGCAACAGCUCAAAUUUGAAAUCUGGCCCUUGGGUCCGAAUUGUAAUUUGUAGAGGAUGAUUUUGGUGCGGUAUCUUCCGAGUUCCUUGGAACAGGACGCCUUAGAGGGUGAGAGCCCCGUACGGUUGAAUGCCUAGCCUCUGUAAAUCUCCUUCGACGAGUCGAGUAGUUUGGGAAUGCUGCUCUAAAUGGGAGGUAAAUUUCUUCUAAAGCUAAAUACUGGCCAGAGACCGAUAGCGCACAAGUAGAGUGAUCGAAAGAUGAAAAGCACUUUGAAAAGAGGGUUAAAUAGCACGUGAAAUUGUUGAAAGGGAAGGAUUUAUGACCAGACUUUUUCUGGGCGGAUCAUCCGGUGUUCUCACCGGUGCACUUUGCCCAGUUUAGGCCAGCAUCGAUUUUCGGAUAGGGAUAAAAGCUUUGGGAAUGUGGCUCCUCCGGGAGUGUUAUAGCCCAUUGUAUAAUACCUUUCUGGGGAUCGAGGUACGCGCUUCUGCAAGGAUGCUGGCGUAAUGGUUAUCAAUCACCCGUCUUGAAACACGGACCAAGGAGUCGAACAUUUGUGCAAGUGUUUGGGUGUUAAACCCUCACGCGUAAUGAAAGUGAACGGAGGUGAGAGCCCUUACGGGUGCAUCAUCGACCGAUCCUGAAGUUUUCGGAUGGAUUUGAGUAAGAGCAUAACUGUUCGGACCCGAAAGAUGGUGAACUAUGCGUGGAUAGGGUGAAGCCAGAGGAAACUCUGGUGGAGGCUCGCAGCGGUUCUGACGUGCAAAUCGAUCGUCAAAUCUGCGCAUGGGGGCGAAAGACUAAUCGA
RNAcentral lists this ribosomal RNA (843 nucleotides) under Seiridium persooniae. RNAcentral's name for it is "eukaryotic LSU rRNA". It matches the Rfam family "Eukaryotic large subunit ribosomal RNA", at positions 68 to 938 of the family's 3401-position model. Lineage: Eukaryota; Fungi; Ascomycota; Sordariomycetes; Amphisphaeriales; Sporocadaceae. The record is from RNAcentral.